Molecule: unclassified non-coding RNA, 219 nt
Filed under: uncultured Fomitopsidaceae
Lineage: Eukaryota; Fungi; Basidiomycota; Agaricomycetes; Polyporales; Fomitopsidaceae
Description: sequence contains ITS1
Rfam family: 5.8S ribosomal RNA (bases 1-104)
Source: RNAcentral
GAAAUGCGAUAAGUAAUGUGAAUUGCAGAAUUCAGUGAAUCAUCGAUCUUUGAACGCAACUGGCGCCCCCUGGUAUUCCGGGGGGCAUGCCCGUUUGAGUGUCAUUAUUAUUCUGCCCUGCAGGUUUUGCCGAGAGGCCAAAUGCAUGUUGAUGAUAGAUAUAUUUCAAUAUCACCCGCACCAAGACCUCAAACCGGUAGGAGUACCCGCCGAACUUAA